CUAUGUGUAGUGCGAUGUGGGGACGGAUCCUAAUAGGUCAUCCAGUUAUUGGAUUCUGGUUUAGGCAGAUGUAGACGACAGGUAGGAAAAUCCGCUUGUCAUAUGUUGAGGCUGCCAAUCGAGCGAGCUUGCUCGCGAAGUGACUGAACGAGGUUCCAGGAAAAGCCACUAAGCUUCAGCUGCACACGACCGUACCGCAAACCGACACUGGUGCGCGAGAUGAGUAUUCUAAGGCGCUUGAGAGAACUCUGGAGAAGGAACUCGGCAAAUUGACACCGUAACUUCGGAAGAAGGUGUGCCCUAGUAGUGUGAUGAGAACAUCUGAGCACGAAUGGGUUGCAAUAAAUAGGUGGCUGCGACUGUUUAUCAAAAACACAGCACUCUGCAAACACGAAAGUGGACGUAUAGGGUGUGACGCCUGCCCGGUGCUGGAAGAUUAAUUGAUGGGGUGCAAGCUCUUGAUCGAAGUCCCAGUAAACGGCGGCCGUAACAAUAACGGUCCUAAGGUAGCGAAAUUCCUUGUCGGGUAAGUUCCGACCUGCACGAAUGGCGUAACGAUGGCCACGCUGUCUCCUCCAGAGACUCAGCGAAGUUGAAAUGUUUGUGAUGAUGCAAUCUCCCCGCGGAAAGACGGAAAGACCCCAUGAACCUUUACUGUAGCUUUGUAUUGGACUUUGAACAGAUCUGUGUAGGAUAGGUGGGAGGCUUUGAAGUGCGGUCGCUAGAUCGCAUGGAGCCAACGUUGAAAUACCACCCUGGUGUGUUUGAGGUUCUAACCUGGGCCCAUUAUCUGGGUCGGGGACAGUGCAUGGUAGGCAGUUUGACUGGGGCGGUCUCCUCCCAAAGCGUAACGGAGGAGUUCGAAGGUACGCUAGUUACGGUCGGACAUCGUGACGAUAGUGCAAUGGCAUAAGCGUGCUUAACUGCGAGACUGACAAGUCGAGCAGAUGCGAAAGCAGGACAUAGUGAUCCGGUGGUUCUGUAUGGAAGGGCCAUCGCUCAACGGAUAAAAGGUACUCUGGGGAUAACAGGCUGAUACCGCCCAAGAGUUCAUAUCGACGGCGGUGUCUGGCACCUCGAUGUCGGCUCAUCUCAUCCUGGGGCUGUAGCCGGUCCCAAGGGUAUGGCUGUUCGCCAUUUAAAGAGGUACGUGAGCUGGGUUCAAAACGUCGUGAGACAGUUUGGUCCCUAUCUUCCGUGGGCGCUGCAGAUUUGAGAAAGCCUGCUCCUAGUACGAGAGGACCGGAGUGGACGCACCGCUGGUGUACCUGUUGUCACGCCCGUGGUAUCGCAGGGUAGCUAAGUGCGGAAGAGAUAACCGCUGAAAGCAUCUAAGCGGGAAACUCGUUUCAAGAUUAGAUCUGCCGGGGCCUUGAGCCCCCUGAAGAGUCGUUCAAGACCAGGACGUUGAUAGGCUGGGUGUGGAAGCGCAGUAAUGCGUUAAGCUAACCAGUACUAAUUGCUCGUGCGGCUUGACCCC
This 1480-nucleotide ribosomal RNA is filed under the name metagenome. Its description in RNAcentral is "bacterial LSU rRNA". It matches the Rfam family "Bacterial large subunit ribosomal RNA", at positions 1443 to 2925 of the family's 2925-position model. The record is from RNAcentral.